This 330-nucleotide ribosomal RNA is filed under the name uncultured eukaryote. RNAcentral's name for it is "partial 18S ribosomal RNA". It matches the Rfam family "Eukaryotic small subunit ribosomal RNA", at positions 1470 to 1796 of the family's 1831-position model. The record is from RNAcentral.
CCCUUAGAUGUUCUGGGCCGCACGCGCGCUACACUGAGCCCUUCAUCGAGUUUACAACCUUGGCCGGUAGGUCUGGGUAAUCUUCUCAAAGGGGCUCGUGCUGGGGAUAGAUUAUUGUAAUUUUUAAUCUUCAACGAGGAAUUCCUAGUAAACGCAAGUCAACAGCUUGCAUUGAUUACGUCCCUGCCCUUUGUACACACCGCCCGUCGCUACUACCGAUUGAAUGGCUUAGUGAGCCCGAGGGACUGUUGCACCUAGAGGGUUUUCUCCCCAGGAGCAGCCGGGAACUCGGUCAAACUUGAUCAUUUAGAGGAAGUAAAAGUCGUAACA